RNAcentral lists this ribosomal RNA (110 nucleotides) under Bacteroides caecigallinarum. The record is from RNAcentral. RNAcentral also lists the same sequence under 1 other name. Lineage: Bacteria; Pseudomonadati; Bacteroidota; Bacteroidia; Bacteroidales; Bacteroidaceae.
UAAGGUGACUAUAGCACGAAGGUUCCACCUCUUCCCAUUCCGAACAGAGAAGUUAAGCUUCGUCACGCCGAUGGUACUGCUAAUUGUGGGAGAGUAGGUAGUCGCCGUUU